AAGCACACUGACACAAUAUUUUACGUGGUUCGGCAAAACCGCCUACAUCCACGGGAGAGUCCAUAUUAUUAGAGAUAUAUAGAGAAAGGAUUACAACAUACAUGGAGGAGGAGGAUCACUUCACUCAAACUCAACUCCCAGCUCUUUUGCUGCACUUGCAGCUGCUGCAAUGGCAGCAAGGCUGCUGCCAUUGCAGCCCUUCACUUUCACUCUACUCUCUUCACAUUCUCACAGCUCUCUCUCUCUC
This 247-nucleotide long non-coding RNA is filed under the name Populus trichocarpa (black cottonwood). RNAcentral describes it as "long non-coding RNA (PTRI_LNC003089)". Lineage: Eukaryota; Viridiplantae; Streptophyta; Magnoliopsida; Malpighiales; Salicaceae. The record is from RNAcentral.